CUGUUGGCUCUGUUUCUUUGGAGACCCCUGACUAAUACAUGAAGUAAAGGACUAGGAGGCUGAGAAUUUGCACAUUUACUGAACCUGCAAGAACUUGGGAGCCCAUAGUACUCUUGAUGCCACUGGACUCCCUGCUGAGACUUCUGAAUUCUAUGGCUCUCUGUGACUACUGCUGGAUCCAGAAACAGAAAAUGGGAAAAAAUAGCUUCUCUCUUCCUCUUGCCUUCUGGUCUUUCUCCAAGACCUGCCUAUGGAAAAAAUCUAACUGGAAGCCACCUAGUUAGGAAACUUGGGAACCUAGUUUGUGAAUUUUUAGCACCUUGCAAUAUAGAGACUAUUAAAGGGCAGGAAUUAAAGCUAAAAGUUACCUUU
Molecule: long non-coding RNA, 372 nt
Organism: Cebus imitator (Panamanian white-faced capuchin)
Lineage: Eukaryota; Metazoa; Chordata; Mammalia; Primates; Cebidae
Exons: 2
Source: RefSeq, a predicted model, not a curated record